RNAcentral lists this small RNA (31 nucleotides) under Bombyx mori (domestic silkworm). Its description in RNAcentral is "ovarian small RNA-9828". Lineage: Eukaryota; Metazoa; Arthropoda; Insecta; Lepidoptera; Bombycidae. The record is from RNAcentral.
AAAAACGGAUGCAGUGGGCUCGUGCCCAUCG